GACGAACGCUGGCGGCGUGCUUAACACAUGCAAGUCGAACGGAAAGGCCCCUUUGGGGGUACUCGAGUGGCGAACGGGUGAGUAACACGUGAGUAACCUGCCCUUGACUUCGGGAUAACUUCAGGAAACUGGGGCUAAUACCGGAUAGGAAUCCUUGCUGCAUGGUGGGGGUUGGAAAGCUUCGGCGGUUUUGGAUGGACUCGCGGCUUAUCAGCUUGUUGGUGGGGUAGUGGCUUACCAAGGCUUUGACGGGUAGCCGGCCUGAGAGGGCGAGCGGCCACAUUGGGACUGAGAUACGGCCCAGACUCCUACGGGAGGCAGCAGUGGGGAAGAUUGCACAAUGGGCGGAAGCCUGAUGCAGCAACGCCGCGUGCGGGAUGACGGCCUUCGGGUUGUAAACCGCUUUCAGCAGGGGCGAAGCUUGUGGUGACGGUACCUGCAGAAGAAGCACCGGCUAACUACGUG
Molecule: ribosomal RNA, 465 nt
Filed under: uncultured bacterium
Lineage: Bacteria
Description: partial 16S ribosomal RNA
Rfam family: Bacterial small subunit ribosomal RNA
Source: RNAcentral